This 5943-nucleotide long non-coding RNA is filed under the name Homo sapiens (human). Its description in RNAcentral is "non-protein coding lnc-PATL2-8:5". Lineage: Eukaryota; Metazoa; Chordata; Mammalia; Primates; Hominidae. The record is from RNAcentral.
GUCACUACCAGUCUCUGCGUCUUGGUGGUAGUGGUCCCCCGGGCCCAGCUGUCUUUUCUUCUCUUUGUCUUGUGUCUUUAUUUCUAUGAUCUCUCCUCUCCGCACACAGGGAGAAAGACCCACAGACCGUGUACGGCUAGUCUCUACAGUUUGCUAUUGUGCAUUGUGGAGAGGACUAGAGAGGGCAAGAGUCUGCCAUCUUAUCCAGGUCAGAAAUGGAGGAGUUAAGUUUUGGAAAUAAUUUUUAGUGUAAUACUUUUAUGAUCUGAAGGAGAAAGCAAAUAUUUUGCUUGGUCUGUAAGGCUAAUUACUUCUGGAUAAUGAAGUAAUGGUAAGCCUGGUAAAUUCCAUUGGUAUUAGUCAUUACCUGCUUUCUUUUACUCUGAGGUGAGUUCCAUUGCCAGGCGCAAUGUUGUUUGAGAUACCCUGAUUGGACAUCGUGGAUUUGCAGGAACAAGCAUGAUGUCAGGAAAAGAAAACUUCAGCUAGAAACAAUUUUUAUUCCAUUGAGGACUAGUUGCUCUCCUGCACAUGAUGACAGGAGUAAAAUAUAAUUGACUUGUCAGAAGGUAUUCAGUUGGUCCCAGAAGGUAUAGUAUCAUCUCAGGAGCUCAAGGAUAAACACUUCUGUGAUGAAGGUCUUCAUACAUAAAUCUUAUGCUAUGCUUUAACUCCCUUUGUUAGAGAGUCCGUAAGAACUUUGGAGACAGUCUGCCUACAUUCAGAUUCUGGUGUGUAGUGUUGUGCAGGCUGUAUAUCAGCCGAGGCAAAUGGUACCUCCUGAUACAGUGCAAAGCAUAACCUGCACAGCCAUACAUGGCAGCCCUGAAUCUUGGCUCUGCCAUAUACUUACUGUAUGAACUUUUACAAGUCCUUUUACAGUUCUGCUGCCUCAGUUUCUGCAUCAAUAAAGUAGAGAAAAUAAUACCUUAUAGGCCCAGCAUAUAGCAAUUGGUAUGUAUGUUGUUGUUAUUAUUGUCAAUGAGUAUGACUUUCGUUGCAAACUAUCAAGUAAUCCUAUAAACUCUGGCUGAUGUCAUGGUUUAGAUUUAAGGCUCUUCAAGAACUACAGAACAAAGUAGAUAUACUCUUGGUGCCAUGUUGAGGAGGGUUGAAAUACUAAGCCACAUUUUUCAGAAAGGAGAUGAAGCACACAUAUGGAAAGUCAGAUGGCCCUACAGGGGAAUGGAAGCCCCAGAGGACAGGUGUGAUUACGGGGUUAUGAUUUCAAAAGAGGAAAAAACAGUGAAGGAGGCAAGUGGAGAGGAGUUUGCUGGAUGAGAAGGCUUCCCUGGGGAGAAGGGUAUUGGGGGAGAUGAUUGCAAGCUCUCUUAGUAGCAGGUGGAGCAGUAGUCUGGUUCCUACCGGAGGCAGAUGUUUAGGCACCAUCUGUCACAGUUAAUUCUGAGUCUGGGUGUUUCGCAUACCUUUGGCUUCAUGGGAUGAGUCACAUGCUUGCAUCUGUUCUCCCUCUCUGAACAUUUUCCUCCUGAAUGAUGAUCACCCUAUUAACCAACACCAAAAAUUUUCAAAGGAAUGCUUUCAGAAAGAUGCAAAACGCAGAGAAUGUGUGGCCAAACUCAUCUGGUUUCAGAAGAUCUCUUGUCCUCAGAUAUGUCUACUCUCAUUAAAACAAAGUAUGAAGAUUUCCAUGGCUGGGGACACAGGCAGUGUCUUUGAUGAGGUCCUCUCAAGAUAGCUUAAGCGUGGACUAAACUUCAUAGGGUCCACAUGAAAAAUUGGCUUCAUUGAUCCACUAAAUUCUCAAGCUCUCUCACAUUCCAGCCUCAUCACAAGAUUCUCUGGCUGUGCAAACCUUCAGCCAGGGAGGAAGUUUCAACUUGUUCCUCCUAUCUGACAAUGCCAAUCCCCAAAAAUUAGUUUUUGGGAACUCCGUCUGUUGUUUUGGGGUAGGUGAGGGGCAAGAAUCUUCUCUAAUGAUUCCCCCUUUAAUUAACACAAAUCUUCUUUCACGUAAGCUGGAUGUUAAAGAUGGGCUGAAUGAGUUUGGUGGCUUAGUGAGCCAAGUCAGCAUAGGCUAAAUGCUAUAACAAACACCUCAGUGGCUUUAAAUGGUCAUGUCAUUGACGAAAGUGGUCAAUAUGUUGGUGGUUGUAGAGGAGCUCUGCUCUGUGUAGUUGCUCAGUAUCUAGACUUCUUUCACUAGUGUAUUUGCUGUAUUCUAUGUGAAUGGUCUUAUUUUGUGCCAUGGCUUCCUUUGGUAGUCUGUUAAAACCAAUAGAGUGUGGUUAAAAAUGAUAUUGUGUUGGUUCUGAGCCUGGGACUCAGGAAACUUUGCACAUUUCUGCUCUUUUUCUUCAAAUCCUGCCACUUCCAAAUGAACAAGCCUGGAUUUGUCUGCUGGAAAAUGAGAGACACGUGGCCAGCUGUGCAGUCACCCCAGCCUAUAGCUAGCCAAACUCCAGAAGGAGAGAAGGUCGCUGACCUGCCUCUGACUGUGGACACAAAAGGGAGCCAUGACAAGACUAGACGAAUCACCCAACAAGCUUGGCCUAAGUUGCUGACCUGCUGAAUUAUGAUAUAAAUAAAUGGUUGUUAUUUUAAGCCACUACGUUUGGGGUGGUUUGUUUCAUAGAAAUAAUUCACUGAUACAAGGAAGAUAACUUUCCUUUUAAUUGACAUGGCUGGUUGGUGAGAUAGUUCCUUUCACUUACGUUGCAUUGCUGAAAGCUAGUUAUCAGGCCUCCCUUACAUGGAAGAGGAGACUAUAAAAUGUAGUCCAGCAGUGUAACCAGAAGAGGCAGAGGACAUGGAUAUCGGUGGAUCCCCGUCAUAAGCACUUACUCAUUUUUCUGGGGCAAUGGACACACUUUCUGUUGACUUCUUACAAAUCUUGGAGUCUCAGCUGAAGCUUCUGUACAAAGUCAGAAUUAUUAUGUAAAAUCUUGUUGUGCCUUGUGAUAGAGAAGAUCACUAUCUUAUGUUCUGAUGACUCUCCAAAGAGGGUAGGAUUCUGUUUAAGUAGUCUCAGGGCCUGGUUAUCUUUAUUUCAAGGAGAGAAAGGAGGAAGCUUAGUGUAGGCCGACAGGUCUGAGCCAUAACCUUCAACUGCAUUUUUCAAGCCCCUCUAGUUUCUUGUGUAUAUUUCCUGUGGUGAGGAACCCCACUGGGAAGAGAGGUCAUGGCAGGAUUUAUGCAUUCUUGUGUUGUUGUGUUGUGAUUUCUGUCAUCACAGCAGAAUCAAUAUCUUUGUUUAUUGUUCUUAGGAGUCAGUAUCCAGUCUAUUGUCUAUAGUUCUAGUAGCAUGAUUUAUGAUUCAUGAGUUUAAAUGAUGUCUCAACACUGUAACACCACACACAGACACUGUAGAUUAUGUUAGAGGGAACACAAUGCGUCAGACAGACCCAGGUCUCAAUCCCUUCUUUUCUACUUACUAACUUUGUGACCUUGGGUAAAUUCUUUAAAUUCAGGUGCCUGUUUCCCUUUAGCAAAAUGUAGACAAUCAUAGCAAACAUCCCUGUUUCUUGUAAGCAUUACAUGAAAGAAAGAAUGUGAAAGUACUUGGCACUCGUAGAUGCUCUGCAAAUGCUAACUGAAUCUAAAUUAGAGGAGAAGCAAGCUAGUGUUUUAAAACAUACUUUAAUAAGUAGAAAUAGAUCACAAUGUUGAGUUAAUCAUAGCACAUUGUAAUCAUACAUCCAUGUAAGGCCCCUCUCUUGUGUGAAUCCAUUAAUUUUUCCUUUAUCCCUGUUUCACUGUCUCAUUUAUCUUCUUCCAUAGGUAUCUGUUACAUACACUUUAUAUAUAAUCAAAUUUAUUUAUCUUUGAAAAAUAGUUUGUUGUAUGUAAAGUUGGAUUGUUUGUAACUCACAAGAUAAAUUCUUGAGGGAACAGGUACCCCAUUCGUCAUGAUGUGCCUAUUUCACAUUGCAUGCCUGUAUCAAAACAUCUCAUGUACCCCCUAAAUAUAUAUAACUACUAUGUACCCACAAAAUUUUAAACAAGUUUAUGCAAAUGGCAUUAUACUAUAAAUUUCUGUCUUUUUAAAAACUUUUCACCCAGCAUGUUUUAAAUGAUUGUCCAUGGUGCUGAAUGCUGUCUCAUUCAUGACUUUUGAGGCUAAAUAAUGUUGCGUUACAUUUUCUACCUUUAACUUACCCAUUCCCCAAUUGUUGGAUACCUACGUUCUCUCCAAUACCAAAAAUAUGCAUUAAAACAUCUUCUAAAAUGCAUUUUUACCAACCUGCUGGAAAAUUUCUCUAGGAUAUAUGCCCAAGAGAGGGACUUAUGGAUCACAGAUGUGUGCAUACUUAUUUUAUUGAGGACACAACCAGACGGCUUUCUAGGAGGGCCGUACCAGUUUAUACAACUGUCAGUAGUGCAUGAGGAGCCGGUUUUCUGACAUCUUCACCAUCUUUCUAAUUUUUGUAUUAUAAUGGAUAUACAAUGGUAUCUCACUGUCAUUUUAGUUUUUAUUUAUCUAUAUACUUGUGUGUGUAAGAGUCUCCUUAUAUGUAUUUUGGCCAUUCAGGAAUCCCUUCUCUGCAUCAUCUCCUCAUGUCCUAGGGAAUCAGUUUUCUCAAUGCUAUAUGCCAACCAAAUCAUCCCUUCCCUAUUGCUUUAAAGAGUCACAUCUACUGUGAAUCAAAGUCACACGCAAACAAAUCUAUUUCUGAGGUCUCUAUUCUGUUCCGAUUUGUUCUAUUUAUCUCUAUCCAUGUUAGUCCAUACUGUUUAUAUAACAAUGGCCUUUCCUACAUCUUAAUAUCAUAAAGAAUAAUGUGCUCUCCCCACCUCAUCUUUCCUCUUUUAUUUCAAAACUGACUUAGCUCUUCAUGAAUUCUAUUCUUCCUUUGUAUCCUCAGUGCCAAUUUAUUAGCUUGUUGUCCCAACGCAGUUUAUUGAAAGAGCUAGCUUUUAAUAACUAAUGUGGUGUUAAUCACUCAUCUACAUUUCUAAGAUAUAGUAUGUAGUGUUCUUAGUUUUGCUAAUUUUUUUCUAGUCAUCAUUUUCUUUUCCUCUUUAACCAAAGAGUUAUUUUAGAGAGUGACUUUUAACAACUCAAAGUGACUCUAUUUUUAGGGUUAAUAUGUUCUUAUUAGUCUCUAGUUUUACUGCACUUUGCUUAGAGAUGUGGUCUGCAUAAUAUAUACUUUUUAGAAUUAUAGAUUGUCUUUGUGGUCUAAUAUGAUAGAUUUAUGUGAAUGAGCCAUGGGCACUGGAAAUCUAUUCUCCAUAGAGUUAAAGUUUGGUAAUUAUUAGACCAACCUUUAUUAUUUAACUCAAAGCCUUUUAUCUAGUAUUAGUAAACCAUAGGGGGCCACAAAGAAGUUCAUGAAUGGGCUUCAAGGUAUCCAUAAAUUCCCUGACAUGCAGGCAAUAUGCACAUGCUUCUGAGUGAGGAGAGAAAAUUCAUGAGAUUCCCAUAGGGGUCCAAGAGUCUAAAAAGAUGAACAACUACAGGAUUAAUUUUUGUUUUAUGUUUGUUUAUUUAUAUCUAUUUGAUCUGUCAAUAGCAUUAUAACUGUGCUUUUAACAAUUUUGUCUUGUUUUUAUACUUCUUUUCAUUCUAUAUAUUGAAGCAAUGUUGACUGAUGCAUAUUUGUGGAUAUUUAUAAUGUAACUACAUAUUUUAUUCUUUUCAUUAUAAAAUGUUAAUUAUAAAGUCAUUAAGAAUCCUUUUUAAUAUAUUUGCCCUGAAUUCAGCAGUGUCUGAUUUUAUUACUCAAUUGUAGCUUUCAGUUUAUUUGUGUUUGUCUGAUGUAUUUUUUCAACUUUAGGCUUUUUGCUUAGUUGGAUUCUUUUUGUAUCAAUUAUAUUUAAUACGGAAUUUUAAUCUUUCUAUGUUCAUUGCAAUAAAUGAUAUAUUUGCUCCUACUUCUGUCAUUUUGUUUUUAUUUGGUUGUUGAUGUUCAUGCUUUGCUUUUUUUGUCAUUUCUGUCUUUUGCUGUAUGUUAGAUGCAUUCAUUGUUUUUCUUUUCU